GGAUUAAAAUGCUUGUUGCCGUGGUAUUUAAAUUAAGAUAGUUGUAUACUUUUGAAAUUUAAAUUGGUAUUUGAUAUUUAAAAAAAUGUUACUAUUUGACAAAUAGUCUCUAUCGAGUUUAAUUGAAGUGGAUAAUUUCUUUUAUAUGUUUUCAGCUGUAUGAUAGCAUGCAUAUGUCGUGAGUAUGUGAACAAGAAUUUGAUAUGAUUAGAGUCUUAAACGUAGAGCCUAGUGUUUUGACCUUGCAAUGACAUGCCCAUUCGAUCAGUGAACACCAACCCGGGGACUAAGUGCCUCAUCUAGCUGCGCGAAGACUUAUACCACGAUGGCAUUUUCAUCAGUAGGUGCCUUUAGCCCUUUGAUUUCUUUAUUUGAUUAGAAAUGUCGCACGGCCUCUUAACAUUACACUACUGAAUCCCAAUCAUUUGCUUGUUGUGCUAUUGCAACCUCUAAGUUCAUCCACCAAUAAUGAUAAAUUGUCUUGACUUGAUUAUUUUUUGUUACAAUUAUUUAAAUAUCUUGUUCUUGCUCUUUUUUAGGAUCUUAUUUUGGAGUGGCGUCACUCCAAUGCUUGAAUUUUAUGCUCAUGCACAAGGAGGAUUGGCCGACAAAAGAGAUUACAAAGCCGAGUCUCGCUGAGUUAGUUAAUGAAAUGCAGAAGAAACUCCCAGAGGAUUGUCAUCCCCAAGAAUUCGAGCCUAAUUCCAUAGUCCCAAUAGAUGGUGGUUUCUUAGGCUUCGAUCCACCGGCUGCACUCAAGUAUAUGAAAAAAUUUGGGGUUAGCCUUGACCGGUUCCAUCCCUACAAAGGGCGGAUGAUGAAAAGAAAGAUUCCAGAAAUAUCGCCCCGGAUAAAGAUAGGAGAUUAUACAGUUCUAAAUGGCGAUAAUGACAUAAAACCACGGGGAGUUUGUUACCUACAACUCUUUUGAGGAUCAUGUAGAUGUAUGUGCCCUAGUUUCCUUUCUUAUUUCUCCCCUAUUCUCUAUUUUAGGGUAUCAAUGUGUAAUUUAUUUUUUUUUGAAGGGAAUAUAUCAUGGACACAAGGAUAAGUUGGACGAGGAAACUGUGUCUGGGCAUUCAGUUCUUGUUUUUGGCUAUGGGGGAAAAGGCAAAGAUGCCUAUCUCGAUGUUCAAAACACAUGGAAACCAGAAGACUGGGGCAAGGAUGGAAUUGGAAAGAUAUCUCAUAAUCUUUUCUACCGGUUUUCUUUUCUAGAUGCGGAGUCAAUUUCUCUCGAGCAACCAGGUGCAUCUGAACACUAUAUCCCACCAUUUGAUGCAUGCUAGCCAUUUCAAUGUAGGAUUUGUAUGCGAUGAUUAGUCGAUGGGGUUCUUCUACAGUCAUCUUUCAAAGGGCACCUUAAGAUGAUCUCCAGGUGACACGUUAAUGACUUUAUAAUGUUGCUUGAUUUUCAUGGACUCAUGAUGAGAUGGCUGCAAUCCCAAGUGUAGUGGUACUCACACUUGAUAAUUUUGAUGAGCAUGUCCUCAAUGAAACAAAGGAUGUUUUGGUUAAAUUGUAUGAACCCUGGUAAGAAUGCAUGUUCACGUCUUUGUACGAAAUAUUAGAUUGGAGUAAUGGGAAGUAGCCCCGGUUCUUCAGGGUAUAUGUUGAUUGACAAUGACUCUACUCAACCCUAACUUAGGGCCAGAAAUAAUGUGCAAGUUGAGAUUUAACUAUCGAUUGCCGAUAGAAUCGUUAGUUCCAUGUUUACCUCACAAUAGUUUAUUGGCAUUAGUGGCUUCCUCUUAACUGACUUCAGUUGCUAAUGUUUUAAGGAUAAGUUAGUUUUUGAAUUUGAAAUGCAAUUUUUUUUUCUGCUUUUUUGUGUCCUAGCCAUGUUAUGUUCUACAGGUGGUGCUAUGGCAAAAACCUUGCUGUAUGAUGUGAGUGCCUUUCCUACAUUAAAAUUCUUUCCCAAAGGUAACAAGGCUUGGUGAAGAUUAUAAUGGUGGCCAAGAUUUAGACGACUUUGUAAAUUUCAUCAAUGAUAAGUGUGGCGCGUGUCAUGAUACAAAGGGACAACUUACUGAUAAAGUAAGUGGUGGAACUGUUAAGGUUUUUAAGUAUAACAGCGUGGAAUGUAAUUUCUCUCCAACAGUUUCUAUUUGUGUUUCGUUCUUUAUUUCCUUCGAUUCUGUUCUUUUGUACCGGCUGGUAUAGUUGAGGCUUUGGACAAAUUGGUGAAGGAGUUUGUUACCUGGCAGUGAGGAGAAGAAAACAGUUUACAACCGGAUGAAGGAGGAAGUUGAGAAGCUGAAGGGUUCUGCUUCAAGGUUGUGAUGAAGGCUUAUGUUUUUAUUGCAUAAAUUUCAUGAGAAAAUACUGCGUAUAUUAUGUCCCUUGAUUCUUCAUUUUUCUUAUGUUUUUAUCACCUAAAUGUUUCAGAUAUGGAAAGAUUUACUUGAAAGCUG
Long non-coding RNA from Rhododendron vialii, 2417 nucleotides. RefSeq lists it as uncharacterized. The transcript has 2 exons. The record is from RefSeq and is a predicted model, not a curated record. NCBI's taxonomy places the organism in Eukaryota, Viridiplantae, Streptophyta, Magnoliopsida, Ericales, Ericaceae.